This 453-nucleotide ribosomal RNA is filed under the name Triticum aestivum (bread wheat). Its description in RNAcentral is "partial small subunit ribosomal RNA". The record is from RNAcentral. Lineage: Eukaryota; Viridiplantae; Streptophyta; Magnoliopsida; Poales; Poaceae.
CUGAAUCAAUCGUGUGCAGAGGGGAAUAGCAGGUUAUGCGUCUCCGUUAGAGACUACUACUGUUACAUGCUGCAAACAAGACCUGCGAUCUUCAACCCAAUACUCUGUGGAGCACGCCUACUGCAGCAAUGGGCGGUUGACAUGUACAUCAAGAUUGAGAGCUGUCGGUUGAGGUGGUAUAGGAAGAACCAGACGCAGAUCCGUGCCGAUUUGUAUAAAGGAGUUGUUGAUGCGAUAACAUCGGGGGAGACACGAGCAAGCGCUGUUGGGGUGAGAAUAGUUCUCCCUGGAACUUACCCUGGUGGUGACCGCGACAUGAAGAAGAGACAUAUGGAUGCCAUGGCAAUUGUCCAUACACACGGGAAGCCUGACAUCUUCUUGACCAUGACUUGCAACCCUAAAUGGGAAGAGAUAAUAAAUGAGUUGCUUCCCGGACAGACGGCGCAAGACUGA